Molecule: long non-coding RNA, 420 nt
Organism: Sphaeramia orbicularis (orbiculate cardinalfish)
Lineage: Eukaryota; Metazoa; Chordata; Actinopteri; Kurtiformes; Apogonidae
Exons: 3
Source: RefSeq, a predicted model, not a curated record
AACCCCUCCCCAGCCCCUUGGACUAUGUGAGGUUUUGGUCUGUAAAUGGUCCUGCUGUGAGCUAUCCAAAUGCAAAUGGAGUCGUCCAUGACACAGCAGUUUACAGUGGAGGUGACACAACAAAUGACUGACUGGAACCAGGCAGACACUGGAUGAGCCACCAGACUGUGGCUGUGGACCACAACCACAAAAAGGCUGGAGCACAAUCCACAAACUGUGGAAGGUGUACACCGUCUGCAAAACAGUGAAGGAAACAACAGACGUAUGAACCAGAGCAAAGACUGAGCUCACCCACACUGAAGCAGGGACUGCUCAUUUAACGGCAGCUCCAGCUGAAGGUCCAGGCUGGAAUGGAGUAGAAAGUGGAGUCCUGUUGAUUCAAGAGCUUUAACCCUUUCAUGCAUACUGGUCACUCCAGUG